AAAACUGGCAGAGGACCUGGGGGCAGGCAAGCAAGAACCAUGCAGUUCAUCCUGCUGGUGGGUUUGAUCGCUACCACCCUGGCAGUUGCUCCUGUCCGCUUUGACAGGGAGAAGGUGUUCCGCGUAAAGCCCCAGGAUGAAAACCAAGCAAACAUCAUAAAGGACUUGGCCAAAACCAACAAGCUCGACUUCUGGUAUCCAGAUGCCAGCCACCACGUGGCUGCUAAUAUGACAGUGGAUUUCCAAGUCAGUGAAAAGGAAUCCCAGUCCAUCCAGUUUGCCUUGGAUCAAAAUAAAAUGCACUAUGAAAUCUUGAUUCAUGAUCUACAAGAAGUGAUUGAGAAACAGUUUGAUGUCAAAGAAGAUACGCCAGGCAGGCACAGCUAUGCAAAAUACAAUACCUGGGACAAGAUUGUUGCUUGGACUGAAAAAAUGGUGCACAAGCAUCCUGAAAUGGUCUCUCGUAUUAAAAUUGGAACUACUGUUGAAGAUAAUCCACUGUAUGUUCUCAAGAUUGGGAAAAAAGAUGAAAGUAGAAAGGCUAUUUUUAUGGACUGUGGCAUUCAUGCACGAGAAUGGAUCUCCCCAGCAUUCUGCCAGUGGUUUGUCUAUCAGGCAGCCAAAACUUAUGGAAAAAACAAAAUUAUGACCAAACUCCUGGACAGCAUGAACUUUUAUGUUCUUCCUGUGUUCAACAUUGAUGGAUAUAUUUGGUCAUGGAAACAGAACCGCCUGUGGAGAAAAAAUCGUUCCAAGAACCAAAACUCCAAAUGCAUCGGCACUGACCUCAACAGGAACUUUAAUGUCUCAUGGAACUCUUCUUCUAGCACCAAAAACCCAUGUGAGGACACCUAUCCGGGCCCCGUUCCAGAGUCCGAGAAAGAGACCAGAGCUGUCACUGACUUCAUUCAAAGCCACCUGAAAUCAAUCAAAGGCUACAUCACCAUACACUCCUACUCCCAGAUGCUAUUGUUUCCGUAUGGAUAUACAUCAAAAUUGCCACCUAACAAUGAGGAACUGGUACCAAAGUUGCAAAGAUCGGCACUGAUGUUUUAGCAACUCGCUAUGAAACCCGCUACAUCUAUGGUCCAAUAGCAUCAACAAUUUACCAGACACCAGGUUCUUCUUUAGACUGGGCUUACAACCUGGGCAUCAAGCACACAUUUGCCUUUGAGCUCCGAGAUGAAGGCAGAUUUGGUUUUCUCCUUCCAGAAUCUCAGAUAAAGUCAACCUGUAAAGAGACCAUGCUUGCUAUCAAAUAUAUUGCCAAGUAUAUCCUCAAGAAUACUUCCUAAAGAAUUGCCCUCAGUUUGGAAUAAGCCAAUUAACUCUUCUUUGUGCCUCUCAUCAGAAUGUCAAUCUUCAAUUAUCCCUAAAUAAUGCUUCCACAUCACCUGACUCUUGCUCAUUUAAGUACUGUAUUAUUUCUUUUUGCUUUCAUUUUCUCUCAGUAGCAACUUAACAAAUAGCUUUAAACAAAAGAUGUUAACUGCCUUUCUUUGUUUCAAGUAAAGUUUAAAACAUGCACAAAGUAUUAUUUUGAGUAUUUUCAAAGGUGAUAUAAAGUGGGUCAUAAGAAAGACACGAGAACCCUCAGUUUCUCCAGAAUCAGAUUUUCAGUGUGGCUUCAUCAUUUUAUGUGCUAAUAUAAUAAAAAUAAAACACAUUCCAAAA
Phyllostomus discolor (pale spear-nosed bat) is the source of this 1674-nucleotide RNA transcript. It is a transcript of the gene named carboxypeptidase A3, with no coding region annotated. The transcript has 11 exons. The record is from RefSeq and is a predicted model, not a curated record. NCBI's taxonomy places the organism in Eukaryota, Metazoa, Chordata, Mammalia, Chiroptera, Phyllostomidae.